RNAcentral lists this ribosomal RNA (503 nucleotides) under uncultured bacterium. Its description in RNAcentral is "partial 16S ribosomal RNA". It matches the Rfam family "Bacterial small subunit ribosomal RNA", at positions 29 to 523 of the family's 1533-position model. The record is from RNAcentral.
AUUGAACGCUGUCGGCAUGCCUUACACAUGCAAGUCGAGCGGCAGCACGGGUGCUUGCACCUGGUGGCGAGUGGCGAACGGGUGAGUAAUGCAUCGGAACAUGUCCAUGUCGUGGGGGAUAGCCCGGCGAAAGCCGGAUUAAUACCGCAUACGCCCGCGAGGGGAAAGUGGGGGACCGCAAGGCCUCACGCGAUUGGGUUGGCCGAUGUCCGAUUAGCUCGUUGGUGGGGUAAAGGCUCACCAAGGCGAUGAUCGGUAGCUGGUCUGAGAGGAGGACCAGGCAGACUGGGACGUAGACACGGCCCAGACUCCUAAGGCAGGGAGCAGUGGGGAAUUUGGUACAAUGAGGGCAACCCUGAUCCAGCCAGUCCGCGUGAGAGAAGGAGCCCUUCGGGUGGUAAAGCUCUUUUGUCCGGAACGAGACGGGUAGGCCUAAUACGCCUGCCUACUGACGGUACCGGAAGAAUAAGCACCGGCUAACUACGUGCCAGCAGCCGCAGUAA